GUGAACGCCCUCACGGGCUUAUAACUAUUCCAAACCUCUGUGAACCGUGCCCUUCGGGGCUAUUUUACAAACAUGGUGUAAUGAACGUCAUAUAUCAUAACAUAACA
This 107-nucleotide unclassified non-coding RNA is filed under the name soil metagenome. Its description in RNAcentral is "partial internal transcribed spacer 1". The record is from RNAcentral.